GGAGGAGUGAAGAGCAAAAAAAAGGCACCGCGGCAGAGGCGCCGGCAGCAGGGAGAGGGUCGGCGGCCGGCGGGCACCCCCGCACCCAUCAGCCGGAUCAAGACUCCGUGUGGAUUAAACCUUUGGAAAGAAGGAGGGGGAAAAAAAAUAAAAGCCCACCCCGAAACCCCCACAUCAGGACGACCUGGGCUUUUUAAAAGGGAUACAACACUC
Molecule: long non-coding RNA, 213 nt
Organism: Zonotrichia leucophrys gambelii
Lineage: Eukaryota; Metazoa; Chordata; Aves; Passeriformes; Passerellidae
Exons: 2
Source: RefSeq, a predicted model, not a curated record